ACAUUGAAGCACCAGUUCUUGUACAAUCACCAAAGUUAAGCACUGUUGAUCCUGGUCAGUACCUAGAUGGGUGACCACUUGGGAAUACCAGGUGCUGU
Acanthosepion pharaonis is the source of this 98-nucleotide non-coding RNA. The record is from the annotation of a GenBank genome assembly. Lineage: Eukaryota; Metazoa; Mollusca; Cephalopoda; Sepiida; Sepiidae.